UAUACACUUAAAUACUCAAAUCUAAAAUAUGCUUGCUAUAGAGUUUAUUUUGGUGCCUUAAAAUGAUUGAUUGUAAUGCAGAUGCAGAUGCAGAUAGGUAUAAUACACACACACACACAUAUAUAUAUAUAUAUAUAUAUAUAUCAUGCAGUGCAGCCUAUAUAUUGAGUAUUAUAUGGUGUUCAUGCAGGGAAUGGUUUGCUUUCUGAAGCACGAAGACUCUAAUGAGAAUUUAUCUCUUGCAUAAUUAAGAAAGCAUGUAGGAAAUUACAUAGAGAGGAGCAUAUACAAUUUCUUAAUUCCGCUGCUGAUGUGUGUACAUCAAAUAAUUAAGGGAAAAGAAUGGAAGUUAAGAUAGAGGUUUGUGGCAAGUUUUAACAAGUUUGGGGCAUUUAAUCAGAAUACUAUAGCUUGGUAUAGCACAACCAAUCUUCUUCAGUUCUUGAAAUGAUUGUAUGGUCUCAGGAUCAAAGCCACCUGCAAACUGAAAGGCAUAGUGGUUGAUGAGUUGGAGAAGAGGAAAUGUUAACUUAAGGGUGUUUCAUGAGGAUUGUACUCUACUCUACCUGGUGUACUCUGAAUGCAAACUUAACUCCUUGUACAAAGAGGUUACCUUCCUGCAAAACUUCAUUUGACUCUAGUUCCUUGCUUAUCCGUUUCAUGUAUUCCUUUGCCAGUCUCAAUGAACUUAGCUUCAUCUGCACUCAAUAACAAGAUAAAGCCUUUCAACUUUCAAUUCAUUUUGAUGCUAAUAUAACAUAGAGGGUAUGAAUUUUUUGGGUCAUUGAAAUCAUACUAUUCUGGCUGAAGCUUAAAAAGUUGUGUUAUAUUAUGGUCUCAAGGCAUAAACAACUGUCUACCUGACCAAUAAGGCCUGAGUCCAACAUCCACUCCCAAGGGAUAUGGAAAUUCCUGUAUCGUUUGCUAAUAGCUUCCCUCAUCCUCUCUUUAGCACUCACACUUCUCUCCAACCUGCAUAUUUGAAAGUGGCACUUUCAAUUGAUUUUAUGUAUUACUCAAAAGUUUUAGUAUGAAAAUUCUAAAUUUUGUACAUGCUCGCCUGUCUUGCAGUGCUUGUAUCUUUCUGAGAGUCUGAGACAAUGGCUCCUUGGGAUUGUCCUCAUAGGAUGAAACUUCAGAUUCAAGAUUCUUCAGAUCUCUGUAGUUGCAAGCUGCUUCCCUCAGUGCAUCCACUUUCUGUUCUGGCCACUGAGGAAAAU
Molecule: long non-coding RNA, 1220 nt
Filed under: Phaseolus vulgaris (common bean)
Lineage: Eukaryota; Viridiplantae; Streptophyta; Magnoliopsida; Fabales; Fabaceae
Description: long non-coding RNA (PVUL_LNC001907)
Source: RNAcentral